AGUGUCUAUGGGCUGAUGAUACAUGAUGCCCACGUGUACACACAGCCAUUGACCUCACGUUCAAACUUCAAUCCAUGUCAUCAUUAACUGCAGACAAGAGAAAGACCUAAGUGUGCACCUGCACCAAGGCACCGAGAUGCACACGAACCAAGGUUUAAGACAUAUCUCCUUACCCUACUGCCCUCUGCCACAAUCAAAUGAUGUCACUGUGAACAGAGAAGUCAACGACACCAUCAACAAGCUAAGGUAACAGCAGAUGAAAAUUCAUAAACUCAAUAGUGAAAUUCAGUUUUAUCAGUAAAUCUUAGCUAUAUGAAUUCUAU
Molecule: long non-coding RNA, 323 nt
Filed under: Fukomys damarensis (Damara mole-rat)
Lineage: Eukaryota; Metazoa; Chordata; Mammalia; Rodentia; Bathyergidae
Description: lncRNA (ENSFDAG00000023120.1)
Source: RNAcentral